Molecule: non-coding RNA, 71 nt
Organism: Ameiurus melas (black bullhead)
Lineage: Eukaryota; Metazoa; Chordata; Actinopteri; Siluriformes; Ictaluridae
Source: the annotation of a GenBank genome assembly
ACUUGAGUUGUGCAGCGGUAACAUGCAGGUUUAGUAUGCCAGUGACCAGGGUUUGAGUCUCAGCUUAGGUU